CAUUUUUUAUUGGCAUACAUCAUUUUAUAUAUCCAAGGCUCUUUUAAACCUUUAAAAAAACAGCCUCUGUUCUCCUGUCAGUGCUUGAAGCACAAAAAGAGUUGAACUAGACUCUAAAAUUGUUAUUUACUGAUUCUUACACUAAGCACAUGGCAUUAUUAAAGAGAGUAAAAACCAGCAAAGACUGUUGCUUGGAGUCGAAAUAUUGAGUCCGCGAGCCGAUAGAGUGACACAUUUCCAUUCGGACUGUCCCCUUGUGAACUAGCAUGUUAAAAAGAUCAGAUAUUUUUAGCUUUUCUCAUUACUUGGCGUCCGUCGUCAUCUGAAACAGAUAUAUGACAAUUUUAACGAAUUAGCGAAUCUCUGAUACAAGCGUUUAUUUAUACAUGAACAAAGUAAUUAUUGAGGUUUAGAUUUGCUCUACAUUUGCUGAAUGAUUGGAAAUAAAACAAUACUAUAGAACACACUACCCCUUAUUUUCGCUCUGGAUAUUUAGUAUUCAUACUUUCAUUUGACAAAGUCAUGCUGAUUGUGGGAUUCGUGGGAAAAAUUUGGUUGAUAGGGAAUCAUUGAAGAAUGACUGGAGCGGGCCCCUCCUUAGGAAAAGUUAUGGAUCCGCCACUGUAUAGAUUAUAAGCAUUUGCAAAGCAUACGAAAAAAUAAGCUUAACUCGUUCUUAAAGUUGCAUGGAAAACAUAAAAAAAAAUAAAAAAAAAGCUUUAAUAUAUGAAGGAGCCACAUCUGCAUGUG
Molecule: long non-coding RNA, 750 nt
Filed under: Mytilus galloprovincialis (Mediterranean mussel)
Lineage: Eukaryota; Metazoa; Mollusca; Bivalvia; Mytilida; Mytilidae
Source: RNAcentral